AACGAACGCUGGCGGCAUGCCUAACACAUGCAAGUCGAACGAGACCUUCGGGUCUAGUGGCGCACGGGUGCGUAACGCGUGGGAACCUGCCCUUAGGUUCGGAAUAACUCCCCGAAAGGGGUGCUAAUACCGGAUAAUGUCUUCGGACCAAAGAUUUAUCGCCUUUGGAUGGGCCCGCGUUGGAUUAGCUAGUUGGUAGGGUAAAAGCCUACCAAGGCGACGAUCCAUAGCUGGUCUGAGAGGAUGAUCAGCCACACUGGGACUGAGACACGGCCCAGACUCUCCGGGAGGCAAGCGGGGGGAAUUAUUGGAAAAGGGGCGAAGGCGUAAUCCAGAAAUCCGGGGGGAGAAAAGAGGGCUUAGGGGUUGAAAAGCUUUUUUCCAGGGGAGAAAAAGAAGAUACCGGGGAAAAAAGGCCCGGGCAACCCCGGCC
This 433-nucleotide ribosomal RNA is filed under the name uncultured bacterium. RNAcentral describes it as "partial 16S ribosomal RNA". It matches the Rfam family "Bacterial small subunit ribosomal RNA", at positions 29 to 509 of the family's 1533-position model. The record is from RNAcentral.